CCGCUUCCUCCAAGCCAUAUUCCUUUAAGAUGAUGUAAUAGUCAUUUCCCUGGAUGGUUUCUUGCCUGCACUGCUGAAACAACAGCAUCCUAACUGCACUGGGAACUGUGGAACCACCCAGAGCCGCCGCCGCCGCCGAGAAGCCGGAGCCCGAGCCCCCCGACCGCAUCUCUGCGCAGCGGCGGCUGCCGGCUCCCACCUGGCUGGGAACAUGGGAGUCCGCUUGCCCUUGCCGGCAGCUCCAGACUGUGUGUGGCUGUGGAUUUGGACGGCUUCGCAAAUGGGUAUUUCUUCACAAGAACUGUGUUUCCAGCAUUCGCUAAGACAGACCUCUCAGUAACUGGGGACCUGGCCUGCCCUGCCUACUGAGCUUGGGGGAAGAUCAGGUGGAGAUGAGUUGAUUAUAUUCCAUGAAGUAAUAGCUCCUCACCUGCCAGGGUUUAAACUACUUUUGCAGCAUCGCUUCACCUGUGGACUCUUUGAAAUUUUGCUUUCUUGGGAAAAAAAAAAAAAACAAAAAACGGGGUAAGAGGAGGUUGUUUUGAACAAGUUAGCGUCUUUUCCCUCCCUUCCAAGUUGAUACAAAGGAGCAGGCUGUGACUCCAUUGGAUUUUGCACCUUCACAUCAAAAU
This 632-nucleotide long non-coding RNA is filed under the name Sus scrofa (pig). RNAcentral describes it as "lncRNA (ENSSSCG00070004207.1)". Lineage: Eukaryota; Metazoa; Chordata; Mammalia; Artiodactyla; Suidae. The record is from RNAcentral.